AAGUUACUACUGUAAGUUUCUAUGGCUUUAGGACUUAGGCCAGGGAGCCAUAAUUUAUCUGAAAAAUAGAUGCAGAGAAACAGUUGGAAGUUAUAAUCAUUGAAGUUUGUGCUUAACUCUGGAAAUCUCAUUAGGUUUUAAUGCUUUUCAUUUCUCAUUAUGUAUUAGAAUAUGUUCUAUUAACAUGUUUGUAAGACCAGUGGAACUAAAGCCAGAAAAUCAGAAAUGGAAAGAAGCAGGUUUACAAUGAGGCAAGAAAUAGAAAACCCGGUACAUGUGGGAUCUGGGAUCGCAUCUGGUCUGUCCUAAUAUAAUCACAGGUGUAUACAGCCACUUUUGACGAAGCAUGAGGGCUUUCUUGCUGUGAAGAAUUUCCAAAAUCUAAAACAUUCUGUUUACAUUUAUUGUAUUUAAAAUUGUUAGUUAAAUUUAAUGCACUUUAUAUGGUAGAUCUAUCAGCUUUAUAAGAAAGUACACUUCUAAGAAUUUGUUUCCAAAGAUUUUAAGAUAAUAGAGGUUUUAUUGAAUUUAACUUAUCUAGAACCAAACUUCAUUUGAUCCCCACCCCAUCCCAAUAACGUGGCUUAGCCGAGUUGUGAUGAAAAAUAUUGUAGAACACACGUUUUCUGGUGGCAGUGUGGCUCAGGGCUAGAGUACUUGCCUAGUAUGCCUGGCCCUCAGUUCAGUCAUCAGCACUGCCAAAAACUUCUAGCUAUAGAACACAUAUUUGCUGCUGUGCGUGGUGGUGCAUGCUUAUAAUCUCAGUGGCUUGGGAGACUGGGAAAGAGAAUCACCAGUUCAAAGCCAGCCUCAGCAAUGGCAAGGUGCUAAGCAACUCAG
Molecule: long non-coding RNA, 840 nt
Filed under: Marmota monax (woodchuck)
Lineage: Eukaryota; Metazoa; Chordata; Mammalia; Rodentia; Sciuridae
Source: RNAcentral